GCUACUAAUAACUUUCCAAAUGGUUUUUAAGGUUCAUUUUUUAGUUUAUUAGACAAAUCACAUAAGAGAAUUGCCAUUUGUGUGUUGUGUAUCAAACUGAUAGCUGCUUUCGUUUGUUACAAUUUUACCCAUGAACAACGGUGUUUGUGGUAGCCGGCGAACACGAUGGUGGUGUUUUGUGGCGAUUAAGCAGCGGCAACAACGGUGGCUAGCGGCCACAGACACUCUCCGGCGUUAUCUGCAACCGAAUCAGCGCUGACGGUUCAAGGGUUUUAAGCUAGAUUAGCUGCCGAUGCGAUUUCGGUCUAAUUUAUCUUCUGGUGAACAUGCUGCUGGCUAAGAGGUUCAGGAAGAACUUAUUUGAUCCAGAAAUUAUGAAGAUGAAGAUUAGAACAUGUUCCACAUAGUGGGUUUUGCUUCUCAGGUAGCGAAUGUGGACUAAGUGUCUUCAAGCGAAUGGGAGUAGGGCUAAGUGUCUUCAAGCGAAUGUGGAACUACCCACAAACUGAAUAUGGAAUUAAGUUGACCUGGAUUAAUAUUUGAAUCAGCUGUCUUUUCCCACGUAUGCCUUCCAGUAUAACCCUUCAGAGAGGUGAGGAUGUCAUAUCAAUUGGCCACACAGUCUGCUCAUUCCGCACGACAUGACAAGUUGUUAGUUCAGACUGAGGAGCUUAUUCAAAAAGAAGCUGCAGAAGAUACAUAAUUUAUAAGCCAAUUGGAGAUCCGGUGGACCAGGCCUCAGGCUAAUACUCUUACAAAAGCAAGCUGCAGAUAGUGAUGCUGAAAUCUAAUGUUCUAGAGCCGUCAUGCAAGUUUUUUUUGUUAUCAUUUGUGAUAUUAUUUUUUUCUAAAUGGUUGACCAUUUUUGUAUGGCUAGUUUGUGUUCACCUGAAACACUUUGUCCAACUGUUUAGUUAUAUUUUAUUUUUUAGAUUAAAUGAUUUGGGAGAGAUCUAUGUAUUAAAGAUAUACUCUGGGCGCGACUAUAGGCCUCUAUGUGACCCAUUUCAUUCAAGCUUGCUUUUA
Helianthus annuus (common sunflower) is the source of this 1026-nucleotide long non-coding RNA. RefSeq lists it as uncharacterized. The transcript is spliced from 3 exons. Lineage: Eukaryota; Viridiplantae; Streptophyta; Magnoliopsida; Asterales; Asteraceae. The record is from RefSeq and is a predicted model, not a curated record.